GGGUUGUGAGGUUAAGCGACUAAGCGUACACGGUGGAUGCCCUGGCAGUCAGAGGCGAUGAAGGACGUGCUAAUCUGCGAUAAGCGUCGGUAAGGUGAUAUGAACCGUUAUAACCGGCGAUUUCCGAAUGGGGAAACCCAGUGUGUUUCGACACACUAUCAUUAACUGAAUCCAUAGGUUAAUGAGGCGAACCGGGGGAACUGAAACAUCUAAGUACCCCGAGGAAAAGAAAUCAACCGAGAUUCCCCCAGUAGCGGCGAGCGAACGGGGAGCAGCCCAGAGCCUGAAUCAGUGUGUGUGUUAGUGGAAGCGUCUGGAAAGGCGCGCGAUACAGGGUGACAGCCCCGUACACAAAAAUGCACAUGCUGUGAGCUCGAUGAGUAGGGCGGGACACGUGGUAUCCUGUCUGAAUAUGGGGGGACCAUCCUCCAAGGCUAAAUACUCCUGACUGACCGAUAGUGAACCAGUACCGUGAGGGAAAGGCGAAAAGAACCCCGGCGAGGGGAGUGAAAAAGAACCUGAAACCGUGUACGUACAAGCAGUGGGAGCACGCUUAGGCGUGUGACUGCGUACCUUUUGUAUAAUGGGUCAGCGACUUAUAUUCUGUAGCAAGGUUAACCGAAUAGGGGAGCCGAAGGGAAACCGAGUCUUAACUGGGCGUUAAGUUGCAGGGUAUAGACCCGAAACCCGGUGAUCUAGCCAUGGGCAGGUUGAAGGUUGGGUAACACUAACUGGAGGACCGAACCGACUAAUGUUGAAAAAUUAGCGGAUGACUUGUGGCUGGGGGUGAAAGGCCAAUCAAACCGGGAGAUAGCUGGUUCUCCCCGAAAGCUAUUUAGGUAGCGCCUCGUGAAUUCAUCUCCGGGGGUAGAGCACUGUUUCGGCAAGGGGGUCAUCCCGACUUACCAACCCGAUGCAAACUACGAAUACCGGAGAAUGUUAUCACGGGAGACACACGGCGGGUGCUAACGUCCGUCGUGAAGAGGGAAACAACCCAGACCGCCAGCUAAGGUCCCAAAGUCAUGGUUAAGUGGGAAACGAUGUGGGAAGGCCCAGACAGCCAGGAUGUUGGCUUAGAAGCAGCCAUCAUUUAAAGAAAGCGUAAUAGCUCACUGGUCGAGUCGGCCUGCGCGGAAGAUGUAACGGGGCUAAACCAUGCACCGAAGCUGCGGCAGCGACGCUGAUGCGUUGUUGGGUAGGGGAGCGUUCUGUAAGCCUGCGAAGGUGUGCUGUGAGGCAUGCUGGAGGUAUCAGAAGUGCGAAUGCUGACAUAAGUAACGAUAAAGCGGGUGAAAAGCCCGCUCGCCGGAAGACCAAGGGUUCCUGUCCAACGUUAAUCGGGGCAGGGUGAGUCGACCCCUAAGGCGAGGCCGAAAGGCGUAGUCGAUGGGAAACAGGUUAAUAUUCCUGUACUUGGUGUUACUGCGAAGGGGGGACGGAGAAGGCUAUGUUGGCCGGGCGACGGUUGUCCCGGUUUAAGCGUGUAGGCUGGUUUUCCAGGCAAAUCCGGAAAAUCAAGGCUGAGGCGUGAUGACGAGGCACUACGGUGCUGAAGCAACAAAUGCCCUGCUUCCAGGAAAAGCCUCUAAGCAUCAGGUAACAUCAAAUCGUACCCCAAACCGACACAGGUGGUCAGGUAGAGAAUACCAAGGCGCUUGAGAGAACUCGGGUGAAGGAACUAGGCAAAAUGGUGCCGUAACUUCGGGAGAAGGCACGCUGAUAUGUAGGUGAAGUCCCUCGCGGAUGGAGCUGAAAUCAGUCGAAGAUACCAGCUGGCUGCAACUGUUUAUUAAAAACACAGCACUGUGCAAACACGAAAGUGGACGUAUACGGUGUGACGCCUGCCCGGUGCCGGAAGGUUAAUUGAUGGGGUCAGCGCAAGCGAAGCUCUUGAUCGAAGCCCCGGUAAACGGCGGCCGUAACUAUAACGGUCCUAAGGUAGCGAAAUUCCUUGUCGGGUAAGUUCCGACCUGCACGAAUGGCGUAAUGAUGGCCAGGCUGUCUCCACCCGAGACUCAGUGAAAUUGAACUCGCUGUGAAGAUGCAGUGUACCCGCGGCAAGACGGAAAGACCCCGUGAACCUUUACUAUAGCUUGACACUGAACAUUGAGCCUUGAUGUGUAGGAUAGGUGGGAGGCUUUGAAGUGUGGACGCCAGUCUGCAUGGAGCCGACCUUGAAAUACCACCCUUUAAUGUUUGAUGUUCUAACGUUGACCCGUAAUCCGGGUUGCGGACAGUGUCUGGUGGGUAGUUUGACUGGGGCGGUCUCCUCCUAAAGAGUAACGGAGGAGCACGAAGGUUGGCUAAUCCUGGUCGGACAUCAGGAGGUUAGUGCAAUGGCAUAAGCCAGCUUGACUGCGAGCGUGACGGCGCGAGCAGGUGCGAAAGCAGGUCAUAGUGAUCCGGUGGUUCUGAAUGGAAGGGCCAUCGCUCAACGGAUAAAAGGUACUCCGGGGAUAACAGGCUGAUACCGCCCAAGAGUUCAUAUCGACGGCGGUGUUUGGCACCUCGAUGUCGGCUCAUCACAUCCUGGGGCUGAAGUAGGUCCCAAGGGUAUGGCUGUUCGCCAUUUAAAGUGGUACGCGAGCUGGGUUUAGAACGUCGUGAGACAGUUCGGUCCCUAUCUGCCGUGGGCGCUGGAGAACUGAGGGGGGCUGCUCCUAGUACGAGAGGACCGGAGUGGACGCAUCACUGGUGUUCGGGUUGUCAUGCCAAUGGCACUGCCCGGUAGCUAAAUGCGGAAGAGAUAAGUGCUGAAAGCAUCUAAGCACGAAACUUGCCCCGAGAUGAGUUCUCCCUGACCCUUUAAGGGUCCUGAAGGAACGUUGAAGACGACGACGUUGAUAGGCCGGGUGUGUAAGCGCAGCGAUGCGUUGAGCUAACCGGUACUAAUGAACCGUGAGGCUUAACCUUACAACGCCGAAGGUGUUU
Molecule: ribosomal RNA, 2931 nt
Filed under: Escherichia coli
Lineage: Bacteria; Pseudomonadati; Pseudomonadota; Gammaproteobacteria; Enterobacterales; Enterobacteriaceae
Description: 23S ribosomal RNA
Rfam family: Bacterial large subunit ribosomal RNA
Source: RNAcentral